RNAcentral lists this long non-coding RNA (2271 nucleotides) under Oncorhynchus mykiss (rainbow trout). Its description in RNAcentral is "lncRNA (ENSOMYG00000021457.2)". The record is from RNAcentral. Lineage: Eukaryota; Metazoa; Chordata; Actinopteri; Salmoniformes; Salmonidae.
GCCGUGUCGACAGAGAAUCCAAGCCAGAUGGCGAAAGAGGUAUUGUAAAAUGUUGAAUGCUAGCAGGGAGAUGCGCCUGGCUCACGGCUAACUGGUGCUAGCUUCGUGGCAGUGGCGUUAUCCACUAUAGAUCCACUAUAGCCAAUCGGUAGCAGCGGUGAACUGGUGCCAAGGUCCAGAGUUACAGCAAGGAUCCGGUGGAGUAUUGGGCUCUAGCCGUGUAUGAGUGGGGUUCGGGAGAACAGCUGAGUAGGCUGGGAGGUGGGCCUCAGGGAUAGCUUCGGUACUGGAUGCCACGGUGAGUGCAAGCAAAUAAUUACAUCGCAAAGAGUGUUUAACCCUCUACUAUUAAAGUGUAUUGCUCUCUGUUUGAGACUGAUAAUAGGACGUAACACAGGGAUGAGGAGAAAACAAUAAUUUGGAUCCUACACAACACAUUGUUGUUUUACCUAAAUAAUUCCACAAGAGGGCAACAUAUCAACAUUUGUUAACAUUUCUACUGCCUUCAGUCCAUGAAGUCCCCAACUAACUAAAAGUCUGCGUCUGCAAAAAUGCUCUUUUAUCAUAACUCGACAUGAAAGUAGCCAAGCCAAAACCGUCAAUGACAUGCUAUUCGAUAUAUAAAAUGAGCUAUGGUGGAAGAAAAGGUAGUACAGAGAGAUGAUGAUGAUCCCCCGGGGGAGUGGAGGGAGGUUGCUGAGGAAGAACCAGUGGCCCAGCUCAAGAAGGAGCCCAAGAAGACAGGAAAGGCAAUGGCAAGUGAUCUAUAAAGGAUUUAAAAAACCUAUGACAAAGGAACAGCUUGCAAAAUUGUGCAAGACCAUUGUCAACUUCAUUACACAGACCACCCUGCAGAUCCUGCUGCCGGCCCUGGCCCGCAUUCUAGGGGUGACGGGCUUUUAUGACAACGCUGACUCACUCAAGAGGGGCGGCAGUGCAAGAUCCUUCACUGCCUUUGAGCAGAAAAGACUGGAGCUCAUCCAGGAAGUUAAAUAUUUGGCGAAGGAGAUGUGUAACUGUGGCGGCAAGGCUCUCCAACCAAGGUCUAGCACACCCUCUUCCAAGAGUUCCCAGACCUCACUGAAAGCCCACCUGGGAAUGCCAGAGGACAGUAUCAUCAGCAGUGUCCAGGAGCAACUGUCAAAAUCUGACCAAAUGGUGGCUGCAGGACAGCUUUCACAAAUAGAAAAAGUGGUUGGACCUAUGCUGGAGAACAUUGAGAAGAUUAGCAGCGAACGUGGCGAGGAAUUGGUCUAUCAAGAGUCACUACGGUCUUCUUCCUCGUUGUCAUUCUCAACUGCCAAAUCACAGAAGACAGAGUGGGAAUUUGCACUCCCUGGCACUCCCAUUCCUUCUGAGUUACCCGAGAGUACUGCUCAGCCCAUUGUAAGAUGCUCAGUCAUUGACUUGAGCGAAUCUACUAAGCCAAAAACAAUGGUGUGUGAUGCCAGAACAAGCAUGUUUGCCAUAGCCGAUACCAUCAUGAAGAAGGUAUAUCCAGAGGCAGAAGGGCAGGUUACAUCUCACCCUGAUCUAACAGAUGCAAUAGCUAGACUGGAGGAGCUCAUAUAUCAGGGUAGGAUUGGUGCUCUCUCCCGUGAUCUCAGUCACCAAGUGAACCGCAUAAUUUCCGAUAGCAACUUGACCCCUCUGGGACUGACAGUGGUGGCUGGAAAGAGUGCAUCUGAUACCAUCCUUUCGAAGCUGAAGAGGAAUGACAAGGUGUGGAAGCCCACAACUUACGAGCUGGUUCAGCUGUUUGUAGAGGAGUCUGUUAAGUGCCUCCUGCUUCCUAGUUUUAUGCCCUAUUCAACUUCAAUGAGUUUGGCUCAGGGGGCCAAGGUGUUGGCUAGAGUGUCUGAAGAUAGAAUUUCAUGCUCUUCUUCUUCAUCAGUAUUUAGUGACACAGUCAGUCUCUUUACCAAAGUUAUGGUAAGCCAGGUCAUGUACUCUGUGGAUUCUGAUGCAGAAAGUAGAGGAUCCUCUCCAACUGAAUCUCUCCAAACAUCUGAAACCACUAUAUCUGAUGUAGGCAAUCUAUUGAGUGGCAAGUCCUCCCCUGGGCUGUCUCCUUCUGGCGCCAUUAUGGCAACAAGCGAGACCUCCAAUGCAGCACAAAUCUUGAAGGCCAACAUUGAUGGAGAGGAAGUGGAUACCACCAGUCAUUCUGGUGUAGCUCAAAACAUUGUCAGGGACGAUACCCAAGAAGACUCGAGGCUGUAAUCGCUGCCAAAGGUGCUUCAACAAAGUACUGAGUAAAGGGUCUGAAUA